CCGCCUCGCGGUGCCGGGGACCGGAGCCGGGGCGCGGGCGCGGCUGCGCUGGGCGCCAGGAGGGGGCGGUGGCCCGCACGUGCGUAGGGGGAGGGGGCGUCCGGGCUGCCCGCACGUGGGGCUGCAGCCGCACGCCUACGCGGAGCGCGGCGGCCGAGCGCUUAGGGCCCCAGCACGUGGCUCUUCCCUGCGCGCGUGCGUCGGCCGCGGGGCCACCGCGCCAAGUGCGGGCCGGAGCGCGCCAGCGUUGGCCCCGGCUUGUGCCUCCCCGGGUGCUCGCCCAGGGCACGGGGUCCCGGGGAGCCCUGCCCGCAGAGGUGGGCCCCUGUGCGCCGCACGCUGGGGGUCCAGCGGAGCUCACUAGCCGGAAAUUGAAGGCCCUGGGCAGGUGCAGCCCAUCCGCCGCGCAGAGCACCCCGCCCCCUGCCGCCAGGUGCCGCCGAAGCCCCGCCCAGGUUCGUGGCGUGGGAGCCAAGCCCGCGCGCCUCACGUGUUGGGCUCAGUCUCGCCCGCCUGUGGGCGCAGGUCCCGAGGUCUAAGGAGGAAAGUUUGUGUUGAGGUUAGACCUCUUGCGCUCCACAGUUCCACCUCCCAGACUGUCAGCUUUCUAGAAGUUCCCGCAGUACUGUGGCUACCCUGAGCUGGGCCCUGCCCCAGCCAUGGCACCCCUCGGUUGACUCCUAACACCACCUACACUUUGCCGGAGAGGAGUUAAAUACCAGAUUCCAGCUUGGAGAACGAAACAGCAGCUUAGUGGCAAGCGACAGGAAAGGACAAGGAAAACAGGCCUGGGCCCCGGCCCAGACCUCUCUGCUGAGACAGCUGCGGUGGACUCCGGGUGGCCUCUGCCACCCCAUCUUGGGCUGGCUUUGUGGAGACUUGUGUCCUACCAUAACACAUACUAGCUGAAGCUUUUGGUCUGCAUGCAGUUCCUGGGCAGUAAGACCUAAAGAUAAAAUGAUGAUAUACAGACAGUAAGUCUACCAGAAGCAACACUUACAUAAUGCCAAGAAA
Non-coding RNA from Sus scrofa (pig), 1014 nucleotides. The record is from RefSeq and is a predicted model, not a curated record. NCBI's taxonomy places the organism in Eukaryota, Metazoa, Chordata, Mammalia, Artiodactyla, Suidae.